Molecule: ribosomal RNA, 432 nt
Filed under: uncultured bacterium
Lineage: Bacteria
Description: partial 16S ribosomal RNA
Rfam family: Bacterial small subunit ribosomal RNA
Source: RNAcentral
AACGAACGCUGGCGGCAUGCCUAACACAUGCAAGUCGAACGAGACCUUCGGGUCUAGUGGCGCACGGGUGCGUAACGCGUGGGAACCUGCCCUUAGGUUCGGAAUAACUCCCCGAAAGGGGUGCUAAUACCGGAUAAUGUCUUCGGACCAAAGAUUUAUCGCCUUUGGAUGGGCCCGCGUUGGAUUAGCUAGUUGGUAGGGUAAAAGCCUACCAAGGCGACGAUCCAUAGCUGGUCUGAGAGGAUGAUCAGCCACACUGGGACUGAGACACGGCCCAGACUCCUACGGGAGGCAGCAGUGGGGAAUAUGGGACAAUGGGCGAAAGCCUGAUCCAGCAAUGCCGCGUGAGUGAUGAAGGCCUUAGGGUUGUAAAGCUCUUUUACCCGGGAUGAUAAUGACAGUACCGGGAGAAUAAGCUCCGGCUAACUCCGG